RNAcentral lists this unclassified non-coding RNA (1371 nucleotides) under Leishmania donovani. RNAcentral's name for it is "gene:unknown". Lineage: Eukaryota; Euglenozoa; Kinetoplastea; Trypanosomatida; Trypanosomatidae. The record is from RNAcentral.
GCUCUUCCUCUCCUCUCUGCCUCGCCCAAUCUCGGUGCAUUCUCUGCCUUUCGCGCAUCGUACUUUGCCGCCCCUUCUGCGUGCAAGUGCACCCGUAUGGAGCGAUGCCACAGAAAGCGCAACACGGUCGUGGCAUCUUGGAUGUAGAGGCGAGGGAGCCGUUCUGGAGAAAGGGACCUGAAAGGGGCGGGCAGGCGGGCGGGUGCAGGAAACAAAGGCCCACAGACCACUGAAAGAAUACGGCGGCCUUGUUUUGCUGUUCUACCGCCUUCUUUCAGGGGUGCAGGCCGCACGUGUGCUCGUCGGUGGUGCGUAGAUGCACCGAUGGACCGGCCAAUAAGUAGCCAAAGGCCUCUCUCACUCCCUUUCGUCGUCGUCGUCUCUCUGCUGACUUUGCGUGUGCCUGUGUGUGUGCAUCCUUGCCGCUGCUGCUUAUCGGAGUGACGGGUACGGUCCACGCGCAGUGUGUCAUCAUCUUCGUCGUCAGCGCCUAUCAGCAGAAGAGCUAACUCCCUUUUCCAUCAACCUUUGAACGCUUUUGUCCUGCGGCAUCUUCUGCCCUCUGAUUACGGGUGGAGGGAGGGGGCCACAGCGCCCCAGCGCGCGGCCUCACAGGGCCCAGUGCACCCCCCACUCUCCCUCUCUCCUUGUGGGAGAAAGCCAGGCGGUCCCGCCCCCGCCCUAUCCCCAGCCAAAUGCCGAGCCGCCCCUCUGGUGGCCACAGGGCCAAGCACCGGCGACGCGCGGGGGCCAGAGCGAUGCACGGCGACUGAUGUCGGCGGUCAGGUCGUGGAUGGCGCGGCGCCGGAGCGGCCAGCGACCGCGAGCACGCUUGUGCCGCCGACAUGACAAGCCGAGUGCCGGCGUGGCUCGAAGGCAUCUGUCACCCGGCCCUCGCUGCCCACUGGUGGAGGGAGCCUGCGCCACCGCGAGGGGGGUGCACCGGGGGCGGUGGCCGGCAUGACGGGAGCGGCUGUGAGGCUGCCUGCGGAGUGGGGUGUGGGUGGAGUCCGCUGCCGAGGCCGUGCUCUCAGAUGGCUGAGCCGGCGCACUGCUGCACCGGCGUGCGCCUAGGGCUGCGCCGCGCCACGCGACGGGUGGCCUGUGGCAGCGCCGGGGAGGCUCGAGGGCGGAGGUGGACCUCGCGUUGCCUGGCAGAGGAGUGGACUCAUCCUGAGAGGAAGAAAGGAUGUCACUCGCCCCGUUGCACGCCCACACGCAACCUCAUCUCUUACUGUUCUAGAAACAGCGCCCGCUUUUUCUCUUCCUUAUCUUCUCUCUCUGUGCCCCCCCCCCUCCUUGGGGUCGCAUACACAUAUAUACGUGCACACUGUCCUCAUGUGAAAAAACGCGAUACCGAGCGUGAGGCAG